CGGCAACAGCUCAAAUUUGAAAUCUGGCGUCUUUGGCGUCCGAGUUGUAAUUUGCAGAGGGCGCUUUGGCGUUGGCAGCGGUCCAAGUUCCUUGGAACAGGACGUCACAGAGGGUGAGAAUCCCGUACGUGGUCGCUGGCCUUCGCCGUGUAAAGCCCCUUCGACGAGUCGAGUUGUUUGGGAAUGCAGCUCUAAAUGGGAGGUAAAUUUCUUCUAAAGCUAAAUACUGGCCAGAGACCGAUAGCGCACAAGUAGAGUGAUCGAAAGAUGAAAAGCACUUUGGAAAGAGAGUCAAACAGCACGUGAAAUUGUUAAAAGGGAAGCGCUUGCAACCAGACUUGCCUGCAGUUGCUCAUCUGGACUUUUGUCCAGUGCAUUCUUCUGUAGGCAGGCCAGCAUCAGUUUGGGCGGUUAGAUAAAGGUCUCUGUCAUGUACCUCUCUUCGGGGAGAACUUAUAGGGGAGACGACAUGUAACCAGCCUGGACUGAGGUCCGCGCAUUUGCUAGGAUGCUGGCGUAAUGGUUGUAAGCGGCCCGUCUUGAAACACGGACCAAGGAGUCUAACAUCUAUGCGAGUGUUUGGGUGUCAAGCCCGAGCGCGCAAUGAAAGUGAACGGAGGUGGGAACCCGCAAGGGUGCACCAUCGACCGAUCCUGAUGUCUUCGGAUGGAUUUGAGUAAGAGCAUAGCUGUUGGGACCCGAAAGAUGGUGAACUAUGCUUGAAUAGGGUGAAGCCAGAGGAAACUCUGGUGGAGGCUCGCA
RNAcentral lists this ribosomal RNA (762 nucleotides) under Neoascochyta paspali. Its description in RNAcentral is "LSU rRNA". It matches the Rfam family "Eukaryotic large subunit ribosomal RNA", at positions 99 to 879 of the family's 3401-position model. Lineage: Eukaryota; Fungi; Ascomycota; Dothideomycetes; Pleosporales; Didymellaceae. The record is from RNAcentral.